AGUGAACGCUGGCGGUAGGCCUAACACAUGCAAGUCGAACGGCAGCACAGUAAGAGCUUGCUCUUACGGGUGGCGAGUGGCGGACGGGUGAGGAAUACAUCGGAAUCUACUUUUUCGUGGGGGAUAACGUAGGGAAACUUACGCUAAUACCGCUUACGACCUACGGGUGAAAUCAGGGGAUCUUCGGACCUUGCGCGAUUGAAUGAGCCGAUGUCGGAUUAGCUAGUUGGCGGGGUAAAGGCCCACCAAGGCGACGAUCCGUAGCUGGUCUGAGAGGAUGAUCAGCCACACUGGAAAUGAGAACAGGUCCGGACUCCUACGGGAGGCAGCAGGGGGGAAUAUUGGACAAUGGGGGCAAGCCUGAUCCAGCCAUACCGCGUGGGUGAAGAAGGCCUUCGGGUUGUAAAGCCCUUUUGUUGGGAAAGAAAAGCAGCAGGUUAAUAACCUGCUGUUCUGACGGUACCCAACGAAUAAGCACCGGGUAACUUCGUG
This 492-nucleotide ribosomal RNA is filed under the name uncultured bacterium. Its description in RNAcentral is "partial 16S ribosomal RNA". It matches the Rfam family "Bacterial small subunit ribosomal RNA", at positions 29 to 507 of the family's 1533-position model. The record is from RNAcentral.